UACGUAGGUGGCAAGCGUUGUCCGGAUUUACUGGGCGUAAAGAGCGCGCAGGCGGUCGUUCAAGUCGCGUGUGAAAGCCCCCGGCUCAACUGGGGAGGGUCACGCGAUACUGAUCGACUCGAAGGCAGGAGAGGGUAGUGGAAUUCCCGGUGUAGUGGUGAAAUGCGUAGAUAUCUGGAGGAACACCGGUGGCGAAGGCGGCGUUCUGGACUGUUACUGACACUGAGGAACGAAAGCCAGGGGAGCAAACGGG
Molecule: ribosomal RNA, 253 nt
Filed under: uncultured bacterium
Lineage: Bacteria
Description: partial 16S ribosomal RNA
Rfam family: Bacterial small subunit ribosomal RNA
Source: RNAcentral